AUUGAACGCUGGCGGCAGGCCUAACACAUGCAAGUCGAGCGAGCGGCGGACGGGUGAGUAAUGUCUGGGAAAAUGCCUGAUGGAGGGGGAUCACUACUGGAAAAGGUAGCUAAUACCGCAUACCAUCAGAUGUGCCCAGAUGGGAUUAGCUAGUAGGUGGGGUAAAGGCCUACCAAGGCGACGAUCCGGAACUGGUCUGAGAGGAGGAUCAGUCACACUGGAACUGAGAAACGGUCCAGACUCCUACGGGAGGCAGCAGUGGGGAAUAUUGGACAAUGGGCGAAAGCCUGAUGCAGACAUGCCGCGUGUGUGAAGAAGGUCUUCGGAUUGUAAAGCACUUUAAGUUGGGAGGCGUUACCCGCAGAAGAAGCACCGGCUAACUCCGUGCCAGCAGCCGCGGUAAUAC
Molecule: ribosomal RNA, 406 nt
Filed under: uncultured bacterium
Lineage: Bacteria
Description: partial 16S ribosomal RNA
Rfam family: Bacterial small subunit ribosomal RNA
Source: RNAcentral